AUGGCGUCCGUGAAGUCGAACCAGCUCAACACCCUCGUGGCCAACAUGUUCGCUGCGGGUAUGCUGGACGAUCAGUUCCGGCAGCUUCAAAUGCUCCAGGAUGAGAGCGCGCCAGACUUUGUUGCCGAGGUCAUCACGCUUUUCUGCGAGGAGGGCAAGCGUAUCAUCGGCGAGAUCACCAAGCAGUUGGACCAACCAUAUGUGGACUAUGACAAGAUGGACAUAUUUGUUGAUCAGCUCUGGGGAAGCAGUGCACAUGUUGGUGCUCAAAGAGUGAAGAACACUUGCAUUCGGUUUCAUGAGUGUUGUCAGGAGAAGAGCAGAGUUGGGUGCCUGAAGACACUGGAUUCUGUGAGAAAUGAUUUCUAUGAUCUGUGCAGCAUGUUCACACCAUAUGCUUCAGCUGGAGUAGCACGUCCUAAACUGUAG
This 429-nucleotide ribosomal RNA is filed under the name Triticum aestivum (bread wheat). RNAcentral describes it as "partial small subunit ribosomal RNA". The record is from RNAcentral. Lineage: Eukaryota; Viridiplantae; Streptophyta; Magnoliopsida; Poales; Poaceae.